RNAcentral lists this ribosomal RNA (570 nucleotides) under uncultured delta proteobacterium. Its description in RNAcentral is "bacterial SSU rRNA". It matches the Rfam family "Bacterial small subunit ribosomal RNA", at positions 837 to 1400 of the family's 1533-position model. The record is from RNAcentral. Lineage: Bacteria; Deltaproteobacteria.
UCUUCAUUGCCGGAGCUAACGCAUUAAAGUUGACCCGCCUGGGGAGUACGGUCGCAAGAUUAAAAACUCAAAGGAAUUGACGGGGGGCCCGCACAAGCGGUGGAGUAUGUGGUUUAAUUCGACGCAACCGCGCAGAACCUUACCUGGUCUUGACAUCCCGGGAAUCAUUUGGAAACAUAUGAGUGCCUCAUUAGAGGAGCCUGGUGACAGGUGCUGCAUGGCUGUCGUCAGCUCGUGUCGUGAGAUGUUGGGUUAAGUCCCGCAACGAGCGCAACCCUUGCCUUUAGUUGCCAUCAUUAAGUUGGGCACUCUAGAGGGACUGCCGGUGUCAAACCGGAGGAAGGUGGGGAUGACGUCAAGUCCUCAUAGCCUUUAUGACCAGGGCUACACACGUACUACAAUGGCAUGUACAAAGGGCAGCCACAGGGUGACCUGGAGCGAAUCCUUAAAACAUGUCUCAGUCCGGAUUGGAGUCUGCAACUCGACUCCAUGAAGUUGGAAUCGCUAGUAAUCGUAGAUCAGCAUGCUACGGUGAAUACGUUCCCGGGCCUUGUACACACCGCCCGUCAC